UUGCACUCACCGGUAAAGGGUUGAGUGGCGAACGGGUGAGUAACACGUGGGCAACCUGCCCAAAAGAGGGGGAUAACACUUGGAAACAGGUGCUAAUACCGCAUAACCAUAGUUACCGCAUGGUAGCUAUGUAAAAGGUGGCUAUGCUACCGCUUUUGGAUGGGCCCGCGGCGCAUUAGCUAGUUGGUGGGGUAAAGGCUUACCAAGGCAAUGAUGCGUAACCGAACUGAGAGGUUGAUCGGCCACAUUGGGACUGAGACACGGCCCAAACUCCUACGGGAGGCAGCAGUAGGGAAUCUUCCACAAUGGGCGAAAGCCUGAUGGAGCAACGCCGCGUGGGUGAAGAAGGUCUUCGGAUCGUAAAACCCUGUUGUUAGAGAAGAAAGUGCGUGAGAGUAACUGUUCACGUUUCGACGGUAUCUAACCAGAAAGCCACGGCUAACUACGUGCCAGCAGCCGCGGUAAUACGUAGGUGGCAAGCGUUAUCCGGAUUUAUUGGGCGUAAAGGGAACGCAGGCGGUCUUUUAAGUCUGAUGUGAAAGCCUUCGGCUUAACCGGAGUAGUGCAUUGGAAACUGGGAGACUUGAGUGCAGAAGAGGAGAGUGGAACUCCAUGUGUAGCGGUGAAAUGCGUAGAUAUAUGGAAGAACACCAGUGGCGAAAGCGGCUCUCUGGUCUGUAACUGACGCUGAGGUUCGAAAGCGUGGGUAGCAAAC
RNAcentral lists this ribosomal RNA (715 nucleotides) under uncultured bacterium. RNAcentral's name for it is "bacterial SSU rRNA". It matches the Rfam family "Bacterial small subunit ribosomal RNA", at positions 62 to 773 of the family's 1533-position model. The record is from RNAcentral.